CCCAGCACUCAAGAGGCAGAGGCAGGCAGAUCUCUAAGAUCAAGACCAGAUUGGUCUACAAAGCAAGCUCCAGGAGAGCCAGGGCUACACACAGAAACCCUGCCUUGAAAAACCAGAAAAGGACGAGAAAGAAACAUCACCCCACGAAGGUUCUCUGUAAGGCUGCUGAGAUGUCAAGACCUGCAGGCCGAGGGACCUAGGGCUGGGCUCAGUGGAACAUGGCCCUGUGCCUCCUGGUGGAUGCCCAGAAGCAGUGGGUGGCAGCUUAGAGAAUUCAGGUGGAAGGACCCAACAUGGAGCACCCAUGGGUGUCCUUCUCUUCCUCUUCUUAGGGCAGCGCCAGCUGAGAAGUUGGCACGUCUCCAGCCCUGAGUUCGAGUUGGGUGACCUCAGUUCUUAGUACCCAGCUCUAAAGGCAUGCACCACCACUGCUCAGUUUAUUCUUUUAAAAAAUUAAUAUAAUCUUCUUCUUCUUAUUGUGUGUGCGUGUGUGCACGUGCAUAUACGAUCACCACAAAGGACAACUUCUGGGUGCUGGUUCUCUUUCUGUGGGUCCUGGGGCUUGAACUCAGGUCACUAGGCUUGUGUGUCAAGCACUUCACACACUGAGUUGUCUUGCUGGUUGGUCCUCAUCACUGCUCUUUGAAAAAGCUAAGCAUCGUUGUCCCCGUCUGGCCCUGGGAUCUGAACAUCAUCCCUUCUCAGCCUCACACUGCAGAAAAUGAAGAUGCCACUGCCUGAGCCGGUACCAAGCAGGUGGCUAAGCCCUCAAACCUGUUUUCUCCCCGUGAAGGUCAGAGAAGCCACUGAGAAGUGUACAUCAGCUCCAUCUAGACAAUGGAGGUCAGACAACCCACCCCAAUCCCAAAAGGACACCAGCAGAGUGGAGCAGAAAGGACAUCCCAGAGGUCACCUAGGACAACUCACCAGGAUUGGUUGAGGACUGGGAAAUCGUGAUUCCACUCAUCAAAUAGAAGAGAGAAGAAACCCUAUUUAAAGAACGCCCUGAGGACUUUUAAGAAGCUGCCGGCGCACUUUUGCAAAUCCAUAAUUCAGGGUGGUGAGGUGACUCAGAGGUUGAAGGUGCCCAGCAACAAGCCUGAGGUCAAUCUCCAAGAAGAAAAGAACUGACUCGUAG
This is a long non-coding RNA of Alexandromys fortis (reed vole), 1138 nucleotides long. RefSeq lists it as uncharacterized. Lineage: Eukaryota; Metazoa; Chordata; Mammalia; Rodentia; Cricetidae. The record is from RefSeq and is a predicted model, not a curated record. The transcript is spliced from 3 exons.